This 433-nucleotide ribosomal RNA is filed under the name uncultured bacterium. RNAcentral's name for it is "partial 16S ribosomal RNA". It matches the Rfam family "Bacterial small subunit ribosomal RNA", at positions 29 to 507 of the family's 1533-position model. The record is from RNAcentral.
AACGAACGCUGGCGGCAUGCCUAACACAUGCAAGUCGAACGAGACCUUCGGGUAUAGUGGCGCAAGGGUGCGUAACGCGUGGGAACCUGCCCUUAGGUUCGGAAUAACUCCCCGAAAGGGGUGCUAAUACCGGAUAAUGUCGUUGGACCAAAGAAUUAUCGCCUUUGGAGGGGGCCGAGUUGGAUUAGAUAGUUGGUAGGGUAAAAGCAUACCAAGGCGACGAUCCAUAGCUGGUCUGAGAGGAUGAUCAGCCACACUGGGACUGAGACACGGCCCAGACUCCUACGGGAGGCAGCAGGGGUGAAUAUUGGACAAUGGGCGAAUGCCUGCUCCAUCAAUGCCGCGUGAGUGAUGAAGGCCUUAGGGUUGUAAAGCUCUUUUACCCGGGAUGAUAAUGACGGUACCGGGAGAAUAAGCUCCGGCUAACUACGUG